RNAcentral lists this ribosomal RNA (1432 nucleotides) under uncultured organism. RNAcentral describes it as "16S ribosomal RNA". It matches the Rfam family "Bacterial small subunit ribosomal RNA". The record is from RNAcentral.
GAUGAACGCUAGCUACAGGCUUAACACAUGCAAGUCGAGGCUUAGCAUGGUCUUAGCUUGCUAAGGCCGAUGGCGACCGGCGCACGGGUGAGUAACACGUAUCCAACCUGCCGUCUACUCUUGGACAGCCUUCUGAAAGGAAGAUUAAUACAAGAUGGCAUCAUGAGUCCGCAUGUUCACAUGAUUAAAGGUAUUCCGGUAGACGAUGGGGAUGCGUUCCAUUAGAUAGUAGGCGGGGUAACGGCCCACCUAGUCUUCGAUGGAUAGGGGUUCUGAGAGGAAGGUCCCCCACAUUGGAACUGAGACACGGUCCAAACUCCUACGGGAGGCAGCAGUGAGGAAUAUUGGUCAAUGGGCGAGAGCCUGAACCAGCCAAGUAGCGUGAAGGAUGACUGCCCUAUGGGUUGUAAACUUCUUUUAUAAAGGAAUAAAGUCGGGUAUGCAUACCCGUUUGCAUGUACUUUAUGAAUAAGGAUCGGCUAACUCCGUGCCAGCAGCCGCGGUAAUACGGAGGAUCCGAGCGUUAUCCGGAUUUAUUGGGUUUAAAGGGAGCGUAGAUGGAUGUUUAAGUCAGUUGUGAAAGUUUGCGGCUCAACCGUAAAAUUGCAGUUGAUACUGGAUAUCUUGAGUGCAGUUGAGGCAGGCGGAAUUCGUGGUGUAGCGGUGAAAUGCUUAGAUAUCACGAAGAACUCCGAUUGCGAAGGCAGCCUGCUAAGCUGCAACUGACAUUGAGGCUCGAAAGUGUGGGUAUCAAACAGGAUUAGAUACCCUGGUAGUCCACACGGUAAACGAUGAAUACUCGCUGUUUGCGAUAUACAGCAAGCGGCCAAGCGAAAGCGUUAAGUAUUCCACCUGGGGAGUACGCCGGCAACGGUGAAACUCAAAGGAAUUGACGGGGGCCCGCACAAGCGGAGGAACAUGUGGUUUAAUUCGAUGAUACGCGAGGAACCUUACCCGGGCUUAAAUUGCAGAUGAAUUACGGUGAAAGCCGUAAGCCGCAAGGCAUCUGUGAAGGUGCUGCAUGGUUGUCGUCAGCUCGUGCCGUGAGGUGUCGGCUUAAGUGCCAUAACGAGCGCAACCCUUGUUGUCAGUUACUAACAGGUUCCGCUGAGGACUCUGACAAGACUGCCAUCGUAAGAUGUGAGGAAGGUGGGGAUGACGUCAAAUCAGCACGGCCCUUACGUCCGGGGCUACACACGUGUUACAAUGGGGGGUACAGAGGGCCGCUACCACGCGAGUGGAUGCCAAUCCCAAAAACCUCUCUCAGUUCGGACUGGAGUCUGCAACCCGACUCCACGAAGCUGGAUUCGCUAGUAAUCGCGCAUCAGCCACGGCGCGGUGAAUACGUUCCCGGGCCUUGUACACACCGCCCGUCAAGCCAUGGGAGCCGGGGGUACCUGAAGUGCGUAACCGCGAGGAGCGCCCUAGGGUA